Molecule: non-coding RNA, 45 nt
Filed under: Schistosoma bovis
Lineage: Eukaryota; Metazoa; Platyhelminthes; Trematoda; Strigeidida; Schistosomatidae
Also listed under: 1 other name
Source: RNAcentral
AUCUAGUUGAUAAAUCCGAAAUAAGACGAAACGCGCGUCUUGGAU